Paramuricea clavata is the source of this 113-nucleotide non-coding RNA. NCBI's taxonomy places the organism in Eukaryota, Metazoa, Cnidaria, Anthozoa, Malacalcyonacea, Plexauridae. The record is from the annotation of a GenBank genome assembly.
AAAGUAUACCCUUUGAAAUCAAGCCUUUGUUGGAAUUUGAAUGCCAUAUUACUAUGCUAAACACACAAGGCAUUCAAAUUCCAACAGAGGCUUGAUUUCAAGGGGUAUACUUU